CCCAAUAGAUCGGGAUAACACCUGGAAACAGAUGCUAAUACCGGAUAACAACAGAUGAUGCCUAUCAACUGUUUAAAAGAUGGUUCUGCUAUCACUCUUGGAUGGACCUGCGGUGCAUUAGCUAGUUGGUAGGGUAACGGCCUACCAAGGCGAUGAUGCAUAGCCGAGUUGAGAGACUGAUCGGCCACAUUGGGACUGAGACACGGCCCAAACUCCUACGGGAGGCAGCAGCU
RNAcentral lists this ribosomal RNA (233 nucleotides) under uncultured Lactobacillus sp. RNAcentral's name for it is "partial 16S ribosomal RNA". It matches the Rfam family "Bacterial small subunit ribosomal RNA", at positions 129 to 355 of the family's 1533-position model. The record is from RNAcentral. Lineage: Bacteria; Bacillati; Bacillota; Bacilli; Lactobacillales; Lactobacillaceae.